CCCCGUAUUUGAAAGUGAUUGUGGACUGCCUGUACCCUGAUCAUUGAUAGUGUAGGGAGAGGAUACAGAAGCCUUUCCCCUUGUUCAGAGGGUUCACUGUUGUCCUUAACAAACGUGAUGCUUUCCCACA
Nannospalax galili (Upper Galilee mountains blind mole rat) is the source of this 130-nucleotide small nucleolar RNA. Its record names the gene SNORA71. It matches the Rfam family "Small nucleolar RNA SNORA71". Rfam says of the family: The members of this family belong to the H/ACA class of snoRNAs which bind a number of proteins (including dyskerin, Gar1p and Nop10p) to form snoRNP complexes. This class of snoRNAs are thought to guide the sites of modification of uridines to pseudouridines by forming direct base pairing interactions with substrate RNAs. Lineage: Eukaryota; Metazoa; Chordata; Mammalia; Rodentia; Spalacidae. The record is from Ensembl.